This 113-nucleotide ribosomal RNA is filed under the name uncultured Piloderma. Its description in RNAcentral is "partial 28S ribosomal RNA". It matches the Rfam family "Eukaryotic large subunit ribosomal RNA", at positions 1 to 112 of the family's 3401-position model. The record is from RNAcentral. Lineage: Eukaryota; Fungi; Basidiomycota; Agaricomycetes; Atheliales; Atheliaceae.
UUGACCUCAAAUCAGGUAGGACUACCCGCUGAACUUAAGCAUAUCAAUAAGCGGAGGAAAAGAAACUAACAAGGAUUCCCCUAGUAACUGCGAGUGAAGCGGGAAAAGCUCAA